RNAcentral lists this ribosomal RNA (932 nucleotides) under uncultured bacterium. RNAcentral's name for it is "bacterial SSU rRNA". It matches the Rfam family "Bacterial small subunit ribosomal RNA", at positions 61 to 1035 of the family's 1533-position model. The record is from RNAcentral.
GUCGAACGGGAAUCUUCGGAUUCNAGUGGCGGACGGGUGAGUAACGCGUAAGAAUCUAACUUCAGGACGGGGACAACAGUUGGAAACGACUGCUAAUACCCGAUGUGCCGNAAGGUGAAACCUAAUUGGCCUGAAGAAGAGCUUGCGUCUGAUUAGCUAGUUGGUGGGGUAAAGGCCUACCAAGGCGACGAUCAGUAGCUGGUCUGAGAGGAUGAGCAGCCACACUGGGACUGAGACACGGCCCAGACUCCUACGGGAGGCAGCAGUGGGGAAUUUUCCGCAAUGGGCGAAAGCCUGACGGAGCAACGCCGCGUGAGGGAGGAAGGUCUUUGGAUUGUAAACCUCUUUUCUCAAGGAAGAAGUUCUGACGGUACUUGAGGAAUCAGCCUCGGCUAACUCCGUGCCAGCAGCCGCGGUAAUACGGGGGAGGCAAGCGUUAUCCGGAAUUAUUGGGCGUAAAGCGUCCGCAGGUGGUCAGCCAAGUCUGCUGUCAAAUCAGGUUGCUUAACGACCUAAAGGCGGUGGAAACUGGCAGACUAGAGAGCAGUAGGGGUAGCAGGAAUUCCCAGUGUAGCGGUGAAAUGCGUAGAGAUUGGGAAGAACAUCGGUGGCGAAAGCGUGCUACUGGGCUGUAUCUGACACUCAGGGACGAAAGCUAGGGGAGCGAAAGGGAUUAGAUACCCCUGUAGUCCUAGCCGUAAACGAUGGAUACUAGGCGUGGCUUGUAUCGACCCGAGCCGUGCCGAAGCUAACGCGUUAAGUAUCCCGCCUGGGGAGUACGCACGCAAGUGUGAAACUCAAAGGAAUUGACGGGGGCCCGCACAAGCGGUGGAGUAUGUGGUUUAAUUCGAUGCAACGCGAAGAACCUUACCNAGACUUGACAUGUCGCGAACCCUGGNGAAAGCUGGGGGUGCCUUCGGGAGCGCGAACAC